AAAGGAAAGACAGCUGGUUACAGGAACAGAUAAGGAGAUGACUUUGCAGGUGGUUGGAGGAGAUAUCCAAGCUGAAGAAGACAGAGUACAGGGCAGCUGCCUUCCAGAGAAGACACGAGAGUGCAAGAAAGAGGUGCUAGAGCAACCAGCUCCUGCCAUGACACAGCUGCAAAUCCUCUGAUGCAAAGCCUGCCCCAUCAGAGACCAACAGCCGCUUAUCCGAGCAAGAAGGGAAGAACCCGCUCUUCAGUAAUUAAUGCAGGAACCAUCAGAUCAUAUGAGACCCCAGGCUAUGGAGGCAUAAUUUUGUAGGUAAAAAUGACCCAUAAGAGCUGCCCUGGAGCUAAAUGCAGUAAUCUUUACAGCAGGUCAGAAUGAAAGAGCAGGACAAAAGAAAUGCCUCCUCCUUGCUCCUGUUC
RNAcentral lists this long non-coding RNA (419 nucleotides) under Cyanistes caeruleus (blue tit). RNAcentral describes it as "lncRNA (ENSCCEG00000021000.1)". The record is from RNAcentral. Lineage: Eukaryota; Metazoa; Chordata; Aves; Passeriformes; Paridae.